AUCGCCUCUUCUGGUGUUUUUUGUGGGUGAGCCCAGCAUAAGGUUUAAUCUGCAAGUAGAGUCCAGUGUCCUGACUAGAAGCUCUAUAUUUGAGGAAAAAACAUUCAACACAAAGAAGAAGGAACAGGUCUUUAGCAGAGGCCUGAGGCAACUUCAAAGCUUAUAAGACCACAGGGACGAGGCGUACCUGGACUUGACACCUCAUCACUGCAGCAGCUAAGCCGUUAGCUGGGUGGAUGGCGAAAGCGCAGCUCCGUGAAGCGCGAAGUCAAAAUCAGCACCAGCCUCAUUGCUCCUAGCACAGACAGCAACAGUCCUCAGAUGCCCCCUGGUGAUUUCCAGCUGCACUGCAACUCUUUCAUCUUGACUUAUGAAGAAUAAUUUUUAGGGAAGGAGAGGAAUCGCAAAGAAAGAGUUUGCAUGGCUAUGUUGCACUUUAUGUCCCACUGUGAAGUAGGGAGCACUCACUUCUCCCUCGGUAGACACAGCCCCGAAGAUAAAACGCACAGGUACAGCUUUACGUUUGAGGCUUCAAAGCAUAUCAGAAACAUUCUUGCUGGGAUCAUUCCAAUCCACAAUAAAGUCUCUUAACUCCUAAACCAUUUAAGAUGUAUUACGCUUUAUGAAAUAUCUGAGUAGAAAUAUCCUACAACUAAAAGUGUCAAGGAGUACAAGUACUGACUAAAUCAGCAUUCUUAAGUACUAUACUCAGAGACAACCUGAAAAUAUUCAGUGCCCUCUUGUGGCUUACGUUAAGAAAGAAGAAAAAAUCAUAAAAGGAACUACUGAAGUUUGAACAGUCUCACAGCUGAGGUGGCACAUCCAUCACAUCUUCCGCAACACUGGUGCCACAAACAUGACCCUGGAGAAAGGCCUGUUGAAAGACCCAGAGCAUGUGAGGAGAGGCUGAGAGCUGGGACUGUUCAGCCAGUGGAAGAGGAGGCUGAGGGGUCCCAGCUA
Long non-coding RNA from Lagopus muta (rock ptarmigan), 960 nucleotides. RefSeq lists it as uncharacterized. The record is from RefSeq and is a predicted model, not a curated record. The transcript has 3 exons. Lineage: Eukaryota; Metazoa; Chordata; Aves; Galliformes; Phasianidae.